Molecule: ribosomal RNA, 426 nt
Filed under: uncultured Verrucomicrobiota bacterium
Lineage: Bacteria; Pseudomonadati; Verrucomicrobiota
Description: uncultured Verrucomicrobia bacterium partial 16S ribosomal RNA
Rfam family: Bacterial small subunit ribosomal RNA
Source: RNAcentral
UCGAGAAUUUUUCACAAUGGGCGAAAGCCUGAUGGAGCGACGCCGCGUGGGGGAUGAAUGGCUUCGGCCCGUAAACCCCUGUCAUUUGCGAGCAAGGUUGCCGACCUAACACGUCGGCAAUUGAUAGUAGCGAAAGAGGAAGGGACGGCUAACUCUGUGCCAGCAGCCGCGGUAAUACAGAGGUCCCAAGCGUUGUUCGGAUUCACUGGGCGUAAAGGGUGCGUAGGCGGUCGGGUAAGUCUGGUGUGAAAUUCCGGAGCUUAACUCCGGAACGGCAUCGGAUACUACUCGGCUAGAGGGUUGGAGGGGGGACUGGAAUUCUCGGUGUAGCAGUGAAAUGCGUAGAUAUCGAGAGGAACACCAGUGGCGAAGGCGAGUCCCUAGACAACUCCUGACGCUGAGGCACGAAAGCCAGGGGAGCAAACG